This 24-nucleotide non-coding RNA is filed under the name Cricetulus griseus (Chinese hamster). Lineage: Eukaryota; Metazoa; Chordata; Mammalia; Rodentia; Cricetidae. The record is from RNAcentral.
GUCUGGCGGGCACUGCAGCAAGGA